Molecule: ribosomal RNA, 253 nt
Filed under: uncultured bacterium
Lineage: Bacteria
Description: partial 16S ribosomal RNA
Rfam family: Bacterial small subunit ribosomal RNA
Source: RNAcentral
UACGGAGGGUGCAAGCAUUAAUCGGAUUUAUUGGGCGUAAAGGGCGCGUAGGCGGAAAUGCAAGUCAGAUGUGAAAUCCCGGGGCUCACCCCCGGAACAGCAUUUGAAACUGCAUUCCUUGAGGGUAGGCGGAGAAAAUGGAAUUCCACAAGUAGCGGUGAAAUGCGUAGAUAUGUGGAAGAACACCAGUGGCGAAGGCGGUUUUCUAGCUUAUUCCUGACGCUGAGGCGCGAGAGCAAGGGGAUCAAACAGG